GAACGCACCUUGCGCUCCUUGGUAUUCCGAGGAGCAUGCCUGUUUGAGUGUCAUUAAAUUCUCAACCUUUAUCAACUUUUGUUGAUAAUUGGCUUGGAUAUGGGGGUCUAUUUUGCUGGCUUCUUCACAGAUGGUCAACUCCCCUUAAAUGCAUUAGCCGGUGCCCCGCGUGGACUGUCUAUUGGUGUGAUAAUUAUCUACGCCGUGGACAUCUGCAAUUAUAUGGGUUUGCACUGCUUCCAACUGUCUGUUUAUUCGGACAAUACAUGACAAUUUGACCUCAAAUCAGGUAGGACUACCCGCUGAACUUAAG
RNAcentral lists this unclassified non-coding RNA (313 nucleotides) under uncultured Hebeloma. RNAcentral's name for it is "sequence contains 5.8S rRNA gene". The stretch from base 1 to 53 matches the Rfam family "5.8S ribosomal RNA", at positions 102 to 154 of the family's 154-position model. Lineage: Eukaryota; Fungi; Basidiomycota; Agaricomycetes; Agaricales; Cortinariaceae. The record is from RNAcentral.